This is a non-coding RNA of Potamilus streckersoni, 77 nucleotides long. Lineage: Eukaryota; Metazoa; Mollusca; Bivalvia; Unionida; Unionidae. The record is from the annotation of a GenBank genome assembly.
GUUCCGGUGGCCUGGUGGUUAGAACGUCCGCCUCGGAUGCAGGAGGUCGAGGGUUCGAUCCCCUGUCGAUUAAUACU